GAUCCUGGCUCAGGACGAACGCUGGCGGCGUGCUUAACACAUGCAAGUCGAACGAAGAGCGAUGGAAGCUUGCUUCUAUCAAUCUUAGUGGCGAACGGGUGAGUAACGCGUAAUCAACCUGCCCUUCAGAGGGGGACGAACAGUUGGAACGACUGCUAAUACCGCAUACGAUCUGACCUCGGCAUCGAGGAUAGAUGAAAGGUGGCCUCUAUUUAUAAGCUAUCACUGAAGGG
This 233-nucleotide ribosomal RNA is filed under the name uncultured bacterium. RNAcentral's name for it is "partial 16S ribosomal RNA". It matches the Rfam family "Bacterial small subunit ribosomal RNA", at positions 15 to 225 of the family's 1533-position model. The record is from RNAcentral.